RNAcentral lists this small RNA (124 nucleotides) under Marmota monax (woodchuck). Lineage: Eukaryota; Metazoa; Chordata; Mammalia; Rodentia; Sciuridae. The record is from RNAcentral.
GCUGGGCAUGGUGGUGCAUGCCUGUAAUCCCAGCAGCUUGGGAGGUGAGACAGGAGGAUUGUGAGUUCAAAGCUAGCCUAAGCAAAAGUGAGGCACUAAGCAACUCAGUGAGACCUUGUCUCUA